Molecule: long non-coding RNA, 1184 nt
Organism: Microtus ochrogaster (prairie vole)
Lineage: Eukaryota; Metazoa; Chordata; Mammalia; Rodentia; Cricetidae
Source: RefSeq, a predicted model, not a curated record
GCGCACGCGCAUAUUUUCCUGCCGUGGAGCUCUAUCGUGGUGGCUGUCUGCAAGUUUCCAAUUUGAACCAGAUGCUAUGUUCUACUGGAGCAAAAUGGGCCGUUCUCGGUUGUCAUUCAUGUUUAAUUCAGUCACACAGCCGCAAAACUGUGUUCAGGAGUUCUAGGUCCCUGCUGUAGCCUGAAAGGGAUGAUGUCAGUGCUUCUGGGUGACAGGGAAGCUGAGCCCUUAGAAGACCUUCCUGCCUACGUGCUUCUCAAAUAGGCAAAGCUCCGAGAUACUCCAUCACUGUGACACCUGCUGACCCACGCUGUCUACCUACCUUGGUCCUGGGAGUCAUGGGACCUCAUUACACUUCCUGUGAAGAGAGAAGUCACUGUCUGUCUGUCUGGGACUUGAAGGCUUGAUCUCCAAAUCCUCUCUGUCUAAUUCUAUAUAUUUCAGGGGCUUUUGUUUUUGUCACCCAACGCUUGGCGACACGACUCCAGUUUGCCUGUGUUUUAUGAGGUGAUGCGUGGGGUGUUCAGGGUAAAACUCCCAAGCCUUGACCCCCAGCAUCCCAACAAGCACAGUAAAUUCCCGGUUGAAUUUCAAGCUUAAGAAAUCACUUAAAGAAUUUAUGCUGCCCAUUCGUUCCGUUCUGUCUGGAUGCUCUGCUCCCACCCCGUGUCCUUCUCACAUUUCCCGACUCUUGUCACAGACUUUGCUGAUUGCUCAUCUUCUCCCCCUGGCUCCUGUGUGACCUUGGCAAGCCUGGGUACCUCCACGCAGUUCACAUUUCCCCACCUCUGAAAUGAAGGUAUACUUUGUCGUGCUGGGAUUCCUGAGGGUACAGUCGUCUCUUUAAACUGCUGAGCAAGAUCCAAGCUCCCCUGGAGUGUCAAAUGACCAGUGCUCAGCUUGUCUCUUGGUGGGGGUCCCUGUCACCUCUCUGGUCCCUUCUAAUAGACACGAAGCCUGAGGAUACAUCUCCCUGGCCUUGGCUUUCCCUCCACCUCAGAAACAGCAUGCGAAUGUCAAAACAGCUCUUGAGCAGACGGUUGGCUUGCAUGCAGAACCUCUGCCUGCUCACUCUGCUGGCCACUUCCUGCUUGCAUAGGUUCUCCUGACACCUUACUUCUUGGGGAUCCUGUGGUGGUUUGAAAGAAAAUGGCUCCGAAAGGGAGUGGCACUAUUAGGCUUUG